This is a long non-coding RNA of Triticum dicoccoides, 182 nucleotides long. RefSeq lists it as uncharacterized. The transcript is spliced from 3 exons. The record is from RefSeq and is a predicted model, not a curated record. Lineage: Eukaryota; Viridiplantae; Streptophyta; Magnoliopsida; Poales; Poaceae.
GGCCAAGGCCAGGGAGGACGAGGUUGCAUCCAUCAGCGAGAAGCGGCCGAUCCACCUGCGUGCUGUCACUGCAGGGAUAGCGCCGCCGUCUCCCUCUCCCCUGGUGGCACCUCCCUAUAUGUUGAGGACGAUUAUGUGGUUAUCUGUGGCAGUGUGCUCCUAUCCUCCCCGCCUCCAUACUU